GCUUCUUUUUCCCCGGAGCUUGCUCCACCGGAAAAAGAAGAGUGGCGAACGGGUGAGUAACACGUGGGUAACCUGCCCAUCAGAAGGGGAUAACACUUGGAAACAGGUGCUAAUACCGUAUAACAAUCGAAACCGCAUGGUUUUGAUUUGAAAGGCGCUUUCGGGUGUCGCUGAUGGAUGGACCCGCGGUGCAUUAGCUAGUUGGUGAGGUAACGGCUCACCAAGGCCACGAUGCAUAGCCGACCUGAGAGGGUGAUCGGCCACAUUGGGACUGAGACACGGCCCAAACUCCUACGGGAGGCAGCAGUAGGGAAUCUUCGGCAAUGGACGAAAGUCUGACCGAGCAACGCCGCGUGAGUGAAGAAGGUUUUCGGAUCGUAAAACUCAGUUGUUAGAGAAGAACAAGGAUGAGAGUAACUGUUCAUCCCUUGACGGUAUCUAACCAGAAAGCCACGGCUAACUACGUGCCAGCAGCCGCGGUAAUACGUAGGUGGCAAGCGUUGUCCGGAUUUAUUGGGCGUAAAGCGAGCGCAGGCGGUUUCUUAAGUCUGAUGUGAAAGCCCCCGGCUCAACCGGGGAGGGUCAUUGGAAACUGGGAGACUUGAGUGCAGAAGAGGAGAGUGGAAUUCCAUGUGUAGCGGUGAAAUGCGUAGAUAUAUGGAGGAACACCAGUGGCGAAGGCGGCUCUCUGGUCUGUAACUGACGCUGAAGCUCGAAAGCGU
This 722-nucleotide ribosomal RNA is filed under the name uncultured bacterium. RNAcentral's name for it is "bacterial SSU rRNA". It matches the Rfam family "Bacterial small subunit ribosomal RNA", at positions 68 to 762 of the family's 1533-position model. The record is from RNAcentral.